GUUUUAAAGCCGGCUCUUCUUUUCGGGGAAUGAGGAACCGAAAUUGAACCGGUUCGUCCGGUUGACGGCUGCACGUUAUUGCCCCUGCCUGCGCGCCUUCGCUCCGUUCUCCUUUGUUCCCCAAUCUCCGCCCGUCGAGUCGCUCAGCUGCUUCCGUGGCGUUGACCUCAGUUGACCUCGUCGCUUCCGCAGCAAAAGCUCCGUCUCUCGAGUCCGUUGCCCUUGAUCACCUUCGCGUCCUUAUUCUCUCUCUCUCUCUCUUUCUCUCACCAGCUUCACGGAGUUAAAAGGAGGAUCAGUGGAAGUAGGAUUGGAGAUAGUGAAUGGAGGAACUGAAGAAGGAGAAGAAGGAAGAGGAGUGGAAGUAGGUGAAGAAGAAGACAAGGAGGAGGAGGCGUGGUCGUCGGAUUCAGAAAUUUAGAACGUGUGAAAAUGGUUGGAAUUGAAAGACGAUGGAGAAGCAGUGGACAGAGCCCUUCGCUCCCAAUUCGCAACGUCCGAAUGCUCAUGGGAGGGCUUCGCAUCCGUGCCCGGUCGUCCACGCUUCAACCCCCCGUCCAAUCCGAGCCAGAAACUCUCCAGUCAUAUCCGCGCUUCCCCCUUUGGAGGAGUGGAAGUGAAGGGUGAAUCAUGAAUGUUGGCAUUUUCAACAUAGUGGCAGCUUCAAUUCGAGAAAGUGUGCGGGGAUAUGGCAAUCAGUUAAAUUAAAAGUAAUGAGAAGGCUGACUGUGCAACUGUCGAGCAGCUAAAGUACAUUUUUGGCAAAAAGAAUGAAUUGAAUGCUAAAUGUCUGGUAAAAUAUUUCCACCUAAAUUCUCCAUGCUGCAGUUUUGACAACAGGCACAGUAAGGUCUGUUUAUACUAAGAGUAAUCUGCUGCUUGGAUCAUCUCAAGACAAUAUGUCCCCUGUAGAUAUAUGUCCAUUUUGAAGAUCUAUUGGAAUUUUCAUUAAUUUCUUCAUCGACCUCCUUCCUCUUGCUUUGCACCUCUAUCCCAGGGUCAAAUCUUUUGUACUUGGCAUGAAGCAUCAUUGGUAUUGAUUUUCCAAAUUUAUCAUGCUUCAUGGAUAUAGGAUAACAAAUAUAGUUAAUUUUAUUUAAUCAUCAAAAGUUAUGAAGUUGAAACAAACCCUAUUGCAAGCUUAAUCUGUCUCUUUCCUAAAUCAUUAUUUCAGCUUGACAUGAUCAUGGCCGGGUAAACAGUUUGAUGGGUGUAUGCAUUGGUCAAUGUCCCCUCUUGUAAUUAUGUCCCAGAAGAUAGAUCACUUCUAAAAGUUAUUGCAGUUACAGUGACUCACCCCCACUCGUAAAAGUUACUAAAGCUAUGGCAGCAUCCCCUAGAAGUUCUCAUGGAAUUCUUUAUACGGUUGUGCAGGCCAUUGAUUAGAGGACUCGGAUGUUUCUCUUCAAGGUGCUCAACCAUCAAUUAUUUAAUGAUAUAAAUGGUUGCAUCUGCACUGGCAAAGAAGUGUGUUAUCAUCUACAGUGAGCGGAACUUCAUCACAUCAUUGUUGCAAAUGUCUAUCAUGCAUCAAAAUCUGACAGGCAAGAAUUGGCGAUCAAAGUUCACAAGACUUCAGUGCUCAUGUUCAAGUAGGUGUGAUAGUCUUCAGUUUUUUGCAAGGCCCCUCCACAGGUGUUUGAAAGUGCAAUACUGCAUUUACUACAUUUUUGUGACUUUAUUCUUUCUAGAAUUAACAAUUGAUAUACAGGUUCUGUUUUUUCUGAUAGCAGUCACUGCUAGAUUGUCUUGAAUGUUGGCUUAUUUUGUCGGAUACUUUUUUUUUUUCCUUAGGAGCUACUAUUAGUUCUUUUUCUUUAUUAUUUGGCUGAAAGGAGCUAUUCUUAAUUUGCAAUGUGAUUUAUCUUCAAUUCUACAAUGUCAAUUUUGUAGUGGUGUUUUGUGGAUUUAGUUUAUGGUAGGUUUCAUUUUCUCUUCCCUAUAUUCGUUAUUGUAUGAUUUUUCUUCCAUUGUGGGAUGAGACCAUGGAGACAGCCUCAUCAAUGUAAAAGAGUUACGAAUCUGAAAUCUCAGUGCUGCUCUGUGCCAAGAAAAAAAUUCUCAACCAUAUCUGCCUGACCAAUUUCUGUUCUUUCUUACAUCUUGCUCUGCUCCAAUAUAACGGGCUCUCUUGAUGCUUUUUACCCCAGCAGUGAGAACCUUUAAUUCUUCUGGGUCAAAGCCUGUCUCGUAGAGUCAUCGACGUUGAGUUGUUCUUCUGCUACCAAACGUUCUUAAUAUUAUGCUUUCUCUUUCAAUAAUAUAAGGCUCUCAUGAGGGAGGACGCUAAUGCUAUAGAAAAGCUGACCAAUCUUGGCGAUAACAUUAAACCUUGAUGUAGCGAGUCUAAGUCUGAUGCAGAUGUAGAUGAAGAUUCAGAAGGAAAUGAGUCGGCUUCACAAACUGAGGUGGAGGCUUAUGUUGACAAGAAGGCUGCUAGGAAGGAGAACAAAAGGAAGGUCAAAGAGGAAAAAAGGGAAGCGAGGAAAAACAAAGUCUCCAAGGUAGUGAAGAAAAGAAGUUGGCCAAAGCCCACGAGACUAGGUAGUCAUUGCUAGCUUGGUAUCGAUGUACAUGUUUUUUGGCAUUCGUCGAUAGAGAGAGUGAGUCGCUUGUUGGAUAAGUUCAAUUUACCAGAUGUGGUGAUGGCUUUGUACUUUUCAGCAGUAGCCCAGUUCUAGCUAAGAACAAAGCGACAGGGAUGAGUUUAUACCGUCUUGUUUGGUGUCAGGUACCGUUAUUAGAUGAUGUCGGUAUAUGAUUCCAAGGUAAAUUGUACAGCAGCUUCUGUUUUU
Molecule: RNA transcript, 2795 nt
Organism: Eucalyptus grandis
Lineage: Eukaryota; Viridiplantae; Streptophyta; Magnoliopsida; Myrtales; Myrtaceae
Exons: 3
Source: RefSeq, a predicted model, not a curated record